RNAcentral lists this ribosomal RNA (592 nucleotides) under uncultured bacterium. RNAcentral's name for it is "bacterial SSU rRNA". The stretch from base 1 to 514 matches the Rfam family "Bacterial small subunit ribosomal RNA", at positions 338 to 873 of the family's 1533-position model. The record is from RNAcentral.
CCUACGGGAGGCAGCAGUGGGGAAUCUUGCGCAAUGGACGAAAGUCUGACGCAGCCAUGCCGCGUGAAUGAUGAAGGUCUUAGGAUUGUAAAGUUCUUUAGCCUGUGACGAUGAUGACGGUAACAGGAGAAUAAGCCCCGGCUAACUUCGUGCCAGCAGCCGCGGUAAUACGAAGGGGGCUAGCGUUGUUCGGAAUUACUGGGCGUAAAGCGCGCGUAGGCGGUUAUGCAAGCCAGAGGUGAAAUGCCUGAGCUCAACUUAGGAAUUGCCUUUGGAACUGCAUGGCUUUGAGGACGAGAGAGGUGAGUGGAAUUCCCAGUGUAGAGGUGAAAUUCGUAGAUAUUGGGAAGAACACCGGUGGCGAAGGCGGCUCACUGGCUCGUUUCUGACGCUGUAGCGCGAAAGCGUGGGGAUCAAACAGGAUUAGAUACCCUGGUAGUCCACGCUGUAAACGAUGAGUGCUAGGCGUUGGCACGCUUGCGUGUCAGUGCGCNGCACGCGNGAGCACNCCGCCGUCGGGAGGUACGGUCGCGAGAGUAAACGUACGAAGAAGUAGACGCGNGAGAGNGCGACGCGACGACGAGGGAGGAGG